UGGUUCAGGCAUGCAAGUCGUACGAUCUCGCAAGAGAUAGUGGCAGAAGGGUUAGUAACACGUGGGCAAUCUACCUUUGAGGCGGGGAUAACAUCUCGAAAGAGGCGCUAAUACCCGAUGAUACACCUUAGUCGCAUGAUUGAGGUGUCAAAGAUGGCGCAAGCUGUCGCUUAAAGAGGAGCCCGCGGCCUAUCAGCUAGUUGGUGAGGUAACGGCCCACCAAGGCUUUUGACGGGUAGCUGGUCUUAGAGGACGAUCAGCAACAUUGGGACUGAGAUACUGCCCAGACUCCUACGGGAGGCUGCAGUCGAGGAUCUUUAGCAGUGCCCGAAAGGGUGACUAUGCGACGCCGCGUGCAGGAUGACGGCCUUCGGGUUGUAAACUGC
This 386-nucleotide ribosomal RNA is filed under the name uncultured organism. RNAcentral describes it as "bacterial SSU rRNA". It matches the Rfam family "Bacterial small subunit ribosomal RNA", at positions 45 to 433 of the family's 1533-position model. The record is from RNAcentral.